UACGUAGGGCGCAAGCGUUAUCCGGAAUUAUUGGGCGUAAAGAGCUCGUAGGCGGUUUGUCGCGUCUGCCGUGAAAGUCCGGGGCUCAACUCCGGAUCUGCGGUGGGUACGGGCAGACUAGAGUACUGCAGGGGAGACUGGAAUUCCUGGUGUAGCGGUGAAAUGCGCAGAUAUCAGGAGGAACACCGGUGGCGAAGGCGGGUCUCUGGGCAGUAACUGACGCUGAGGAGCGAAAGCGUGGGGAGCGAACAGG
Molecule: ribosomal RNA, 253 nt
Filed under: uncultured bacterium
Lineage: Bacteria
Description: partial 16S ribosomal RNA
Rfam family: Bacterial small subunit ribosomal RNA
Source: RNAcentral